UCAGAAUCCAUAGUUGGAUCCAUGUAGAUGAUUUUCUGUAUCUGGUAUCUUAAAGAUGCAUUUGUUUUGUAAUUGUAAUCAAAAUCAAAAUUAAAAUAAAUUUAAAUAAAAAUUAAAAUGAUCAUAUUUUUUGAUAUAUUUGAUUUGUAUUGAAAUUAAAAUUAAAAUGGAUGAUUAGAAUUUUAGAAAAGAGUCGAAAUUGAAUUUUAGAAGUGAUCGGACUAUUUCUAUUUCUUUUUAUAAUCUAAAUCGGAAUAAAAUUUUUUUUUAACCAAAUGACUGGAGUGAAAACCAUCUAUUUCUAUUUCCUCUC
RNAcentral lists this long non-coding RNA (313 nucleotides) under Elaeis guineensis (African oil palm). RNAcentral's name for it is "long non-coding RNA (EGUI_LNC002740)". Lineage: Eukaryota; Viridiplantae; Streptophyta; Magnoliopsida; Arecales; Arecaceae. The record is from RNAcentral.